AUGAAAUGGAGACCAAGUUCAUAUUUUGGAGCCAAUGGCGUCACUGCCUUCAAAUCUUGGUAAAAAUAUAAGAUCCAUCAAGUAGCAAAAGGCAAGAAACCUAAUUAGUUACUAUUAACUUGUUUGUUUGUUAUGGUUAUUUUGUGUUAAUUUUUGUAGUGGGUUAGCUGAUUUUUUAUUAUUAAUGUUCAGAUGAUUGUAAUACCUCAAUGUAUUCCUAAAUCCUAACACCUAAAGGGGUUGUUGGUGUUUCUGGUUUUGUGCCUUUAAUUUAUUCUUCACCAGAAGCACCAAUUUGCAAUAAAGAUUCAAACUUUACAAGAAAUUGAACUUGUCUCUAUGUUGGUUACGACAAGUCACAGUCCUUCAGCUUCAGCUUCAUCUUCCUCAUGUUCUUAUGGUGGAAAUAUGGGAGAAAAAUCUGAUCUUGGAUUUGGGGAUUUGGAUAAUUUGUUGCCUGAACUUGCCGGCUCCGACCAGACCCUUUUCCGGUGUAUCUCCGGCGAUAUGGAGGACCCAUCAGUCAGCUUAAAACAAUUACUACAAGGAGGAAAUGAAAAUGCUGAUUUGGGUUGUGGAGUUUCUGUUCAAAGCUCUGGUUUUGAGGUCUCAGCUGCAGGUUCUUUAGCUCAUACAGAUAAUGUCUCUUUUUCUAAUUCAAAUCUCCUUCUAAGUGCUAACAUUGAGAAAAUUGGAUCUGUCAUAAACUCUGACAACAAGCAAAAUGUUAACUUUGAACACCUGAAUGUCAAUCUUUUGGCAAGAAAUUUACCUCCUUCUUUGAGCUUUCAAGAACAACAAUCAGAACAGAAUUCUGCUUAUGUUAACAUGUUAGGCUCAUUAUCAUAUGAUAUAAGUCAAGAACAGCCCCCGCCCAAACGCCACAAUUCGGGUACGCUUGGUUCAAGCUUAAGUGCUCUAUUGCCUGAAGUUCCAUUUUUUGACUCCAGUGGUGACUUAUUGCUGAGGAAACAACCAUUGGGACAAAUGCGGCAGCAAGUCAAUUUACUGCCUUUUCACCAGUUUCAGCAAAAGCCAUUAAUUGUACCUAAGCUUGAGGCAGCUGGUGGUGGUGGUAAUGGUAAUUUGAUGGUGCCUCGUCAUCAACAACAGGAACAACAGUUUAUUUAUGACCAGAUUUUUCAGGCCUCUGAAUUAUUACUGGCCGGACAAUUCUCAAACGCGCAAAUGAUAUUGGCGCGGCUCAAUCAACAGCUCUCUCCCCUUGGCAAACCCUUCAAGAGGUCUGCUUUUUACUUCAAAGAGGCUCUGCUAUUGCCUUUCCUUUUGCCUUGUACAUCCACAUCUUUUCCACCAAGAAUUCCCACCCCAUUUGAUUGUGUGCUUAAGAUGGAUGCUUAUAAGGCCUUUUCUGAAAUAUCUCCACUUAUUCAGUUCAUGAAUUUCACCUCCAAUCAACCUAUUCUUGAAGCUCUUGGGGAUGCCAAGGAAAUUCACAUAAUAGAUUUUGACAUUGGCUGUGGUGCUCAAUGGUCCUCAUUUAUGCAAGAACUCCGGAGCAGCAAUAGAAAGGCAACUUCUCUAAAGAUUACUGCCUUUGUAUCUCCUUCAACCCACCACUCCGUUGAGAUUGGCAUCAUGCACGAGAGUUUAACGCUGUUUGCUAAUGAUGUGGGAAUCAGAUUUGAGCUGGAAGUUAUUAAACUUGGUACUUCCUUUGUACCCCUAAGACUUAUCCCUNCAACUUUCACCAAAAGUUGUUGUAUCAUUGGAACGUGGAUGUGAACGUACUGAACUCCCCUUAAAGCAUCACCUCCUCCACGCCCUCCAAUAUUAUGAGAUACUCUUAGCCAGUAUUGAUGCUGCUAAUUUAACUCCCGAAAUUGGGAAAAAAAUUGAGAGGUCUCUUCUCCAGCCUAGCAUUGAGAACAUGGUCUUGGGGCGCCUCCGAUCCCCCGAUCGAAUGCCCCCGUGGAGAAAUCUAUUUGCUUCUGCAGGAUUUUCACCUAUUGAAUUUAGUAAUAUGGCUGAAAUUCAGGCUGAAUGUGUUGUUAAGAGAACUCAGGUAGGAGGAUUUCACGUUGAUAAGCGCCAGACGUCGCUUGUGCUAUGCUGGAAGCAGCAGGAGCUCUUGUCAAUUUUGGCUUGGAGGUGCUGAGGAGCUUUAUCUAAUGAAGCCAGAAGACUCUUUCCAUUUAACAGCAACAUUUCCUAGAGGUUUUGACUCUUCAAUUUGAUAGUCUGUUCAAAAUUUAAUCUACAUUGCUAUCACCUCCACUAUUGCCUGUAAAUUCUUUUUGGUACAUCUAAUUCUCCAUAUGUAGUCUUGACUGUAGGCAAGCAUUCCUACGUGUAAACAGAAUCUUAACCACUUUCCCUGUUUGAAAAUCUGCGUUGUAUCUUUCAGCAUUUCCCUGUGUAUUAAUUGCUUUCUUUUUUACCUUGUUUAAUAAUAAUAAUAAAAAAUCGUCCAUUUCUCCA
Molecule: RNA transcript, 2442 nt
Organism: Nicotiana attenuata
Lineage: Eukaryota; Viridiplantae; Streptophyta; Magnoliopsida; Solanales; Solanaceae
Gene name: scarecrow-like protein 6
Exons: 1
Source: RefSeq, a predicted model, not a curated record